UUAGCAGAUGAUGAGAAUCAAGACAAUAUAUCUGCAGCGCGCCCGAUACGAUUAACUCGGGAGCGCAAUAGCAUGAUGACUCCGUCUAGGGGAAUCUCUGAUGCAAA
This 107-nucleotide small nucleolar RNA is filed under the name Leersia perrieri. RNAcentral's name for it is "snoRNA snoR44_J54". It matches the Rfam family "Small nucleolar RNA R44/J54/Z268 family". Rfam says of the family: R44, J54 and Z268 are members of the C/D class of snoRNA which contain the C (UGAUGA) and D (CUGA) box motifs. The record is from Rfam by way of RNAcentral. Lineage: Eukaryota; Viridiplantae; Streptophyta; Magnoliopsida; Poales; Poaceae.